CAAAUAGGCCUCCUGAUUCUGACUGCCUCUCCUCCACCACAAUCUCCACAGGAAGCUACAUCUCCACCGACCCUGAGCAGAACAGAAGCACUGAUGAAUGCCCGCUGCUCAGACGGUGUGUAGAACCGGAGCGUGGAGCAGAUUCGCUCCAUGUGUUCUCGCCACCUGUUCAGAGCGUCUGCUGCUUUAAGGACAGCUCCCCUGCAGACCGUCCUGCCCUUUCUGUAGGCUCUCUCUUUAAUGACAGCAGCAUCCAGCACAUCAUAGACAAAUACACACGGGAGCUGAACAUCUCCCUCAGCACUGUUGGCAGAACCACAGACAGUGAAGGCUCAUAUGUGGAGGAAUCUGGCUCUUCAGUCUCCCAGCAGUCUUUGCUUGGAGUCCCGGAGAGGAGAGGGGGGAGUGAGAGCUCCACCUCCCCUCAGUCUCUUCCCUCAGAUUGGGCAGCAGCACAGAGGAGGGGCCUGGUCAGUG
Molecule: long non-coding RNA, 477 nt
Organism: Notothenia coriiceps (black rockcod)
Lineage: Eukaryota; Metazoa; Chordata; Actinopteri; Perciformes; Nototheniidae
Exons: 3
Source: RefSeq, a predicted model, not a curated record